GCUGUUCUAGACGUGUGAUAUUUUUUUCUUAGUUAUCUCAGCUUUACAUGAUUAUAAGUUUAAUUUCGUUUGUUUACAUCUUUUUUUAUUGUCAUCUGAAAAUUAUAUUAAAAAUGGUGAAAUGCGAUCGUACACACGAAAACUGAACACAAAAACUGAAAAGAACAGUUUCCUUUCGGAAACCACAGUUUGUUACUUUGUUUACAUCAACACGGUAAAUUAAUUGGAUUAAUCCUAUCAACUAGGGGUGGACAAAGAAACAAAACCAAACCGAGUCAAACAGAACCAACCGAACCAAAACCGAUCCAAACCGAACCAAAGUUUACCAUCAAAUAAUUUGGUUUAAGAUUUUCCUAACCCGAACAAACCCAACCGAAACCGAUCCGAAUUAAACCGAAUCGAUAAACCAAUGUGUUUUUAUUACUAUUUGAAUUAAACAUACUAACAACAUGCAAUAUACUAAAAUCUUAACACUGAAGUCCCUAUUAACUUUAUUAGCAAUGUUGGAUUUUUUAAUUUUAUAUUUACUUUAGUUAACUUUGGUUUGAUUGUGUUCUUAUAAAAAAAUUUGUGGUUUUUUUUUUAUUUUUGUUUCAGUUUUAUAUUAGAUUUAAUCUACAUUGUUUAUUUUUCAUAGUCAUUGACGAUUUCAUGACUAUCCAUUUAUAUUUUAAAACAUAAUUUCUCUUAAAAGAAUUAAACUAAGAGAAUCCGAUUAAGUCGAACCAAAACACAU
RNAcentral lists this long non-coding RNA (736 nucleotides) under Brassica napus (rape). Its description in RNAcentral is "long non-coding RNA (BNAP_LNC010799)". Lineage: Eukaryota; Viridiplantae; Streptophyta; Magnoliopsida; Brassicales; Brassicaceae. The record is from RNAcentral.